RNAcentral lists this small nuclear RNA (19 nucleotides) under Arabidopsis thaliana (thale cress). Its description in RNAcentral is "snRNA_01055". Lineage: Eukaryota; Viridiplantae; Streptophyta; Magnoliopsida; Brassicales; Brassicaceae. The record is from RNAcentral.
UGCGCGCUAACCUAGAACC